GGAUGUGAGGGCGACCUGGCUGUGAGACCUGUCACCCCACUCAUCGCCAGGGCUGAUCUGGCUGACCUGGCUGGCUAGGCGGGUGUCCCCUUCCUCCCUCACCGCUCCAUGUGCGUCCCUCCUGAAGCUGCGCGCUUGGUCAAAGAAGACAGUCUUCCCCGAACAGAGAACAGACUGGUCUUCGGUCAAAGGUAUACGAGUAGCAGCUGUGCUCCCCUGGCAGAGCCUCCAAAGAAGCUCUCAAGGUCUAAAAUAGUCCUAGUGAGCCCAGCCAAUGAAGAAAUUCCCCUAACUGUGGGGUCUAG
Molecule: small nuclear RNA, 305 nt
Filed under: Erinaceus europaeus (western European hedgehog)
Lineage: Eukaryota; Metazoa; Chordata; Mammalia; Eulipotyphla; Erinaceidae
Description: 7SK RNA
Rfam family: 7SK RNA
About the family: 7SK was discovered as an abundant small nuclear RNA in the mid-70s but a possible function has only recently been suggested.
Source: Rfam by way of RNAcentral